GAAACUCGGGCUAAUACCGCAUACGCCCUACGGGGGAAAGGUGGCCUCUCCUUGGAAGCUACCACUAUUGGAUGAGCCUGCGUUGGAUUAGCUUGUUGGUGAGGUAAAAGCUCACCAAGGCUGCGAUCCAUAGCUGGUCUGAGAGGACGACCAGCCACACUGGGACUGAGACACGGCCCAGACUCCUACGGGAGGCAGCAGUGGGGAAUAUUGCACAAUGGGGGCAACCCUGAUGCAGCAAUGCCGCGUGUGUGAAGAAGGCCUGCGGGUUGUAAAGCACUUUCAAUUGGGAAGAAAAGGGAUUGGCUAAUACCCGAUUUUCUUGACGUUACCUUUAGAAGAAGCACCGGCUAACUCCGUGCCAGCAGCCGCGGUAAUACGGAGGGUGCGAGCGUUAAUCGGAAUUACUGGGCGUAAAGCGCGCGUAGGUGGUUCAGUCAGUCAGAUGUGAAAGCCCUGGGCUCAACCUGGGAACUGCAUUUGAUACUGCUGAAACUGGAGUAUGGUAGAGGG
This 513-nucleotide ribosomal RNA is filed under the name uncultured bacterium. Its description in RNAcentral is "bacterial SSU rRNA". It matches the Rfam family "Bacterial small subunit ribosomal RNA", at positions 153 to 658 of the family's 1533-position model. The record is from RNAcentral.